RNAcentral lists this ribosomal RNA (254 nucleotides) under uncultured bacterium. Its description in RNAcentral is "partial 16S ribosomal RNA". It matches the Rfam family "Bacterial small subunit ribosomal RNA", at positions 524 to 776 of the family's 1533-position model. The record is from RNAcentral.
UACGUAGGGUCCGAGCGUUGUCCGGAAUUACUGGGCGUAAAGAGCUCGUAGGUGGUUUGUCGCGUUGUUCGUGAAAACUCACAGCUCAACUGUGGGCGUGCGGGCGAUACGGGCAGACUAGAGUACUGCAGGGGAGACUGGAAUUCCUGGUGUAGCGGUGAAAUGCGCAGAUAUCAGGAGGAACACCGGUGGCGAAGGCGGCGAUCUGGGUAGAUACUGACGCUGAGGUGCGAAAGCGUGGGGGAGCAAACAGG